RNAcentral lists this non-coding RNA (21 nucleotides) under Caenorhabditis elegans. The record is from RNAcentral. Lineage: Eukaryota; Metazoa; Nematoda; Chromadorea; Rhabditida; Rhabditidae.
UAAGUUCAAAAAAUUGUCAAG